Molecule: ribosomal RNA, 153 nt
Filed under: Francisella tularensis subsp. holarctica
Lineage: Bacteria; Pseudomonadati; Pseudomonadota; Gammaproteobacteria; Thiotrichales; Francisellaceae
Description: partial 23S ribosomal RNA
Rfam family: Bacterial large subunit ribosomal RNA
Source: RNAcentral
GAAAGCAUCUACGCGUGAAGCCUCCUUCAAGAUUAGAUCUCUCUGAUGAAAAUCAGUAAGGAACGUUGGAGACGACGACGUUGAUAGGCUGGGUGUGGAAGUACAGAAAUGUAUGAAGCUUACCAGUACUAAUGAUCCGAGAGACUUAAGUCU